RNAcentral lists this long non-coding RNA (604 nucleotides) under Elaeis guineensis (African oil palm). Its description in RNAcentral is "long non-coding RNA (EGUI_LNC031502)". The record is from RNAcentral. Lineage: Eukaryota; Viridiplantae; Streptophyta; Magnoliopsida; Arecales; Arecaceae.
AAUCACAGCACUGAGUGAUAAAUUCUGCGGUAUCUUUAGGAAUGUCAGAUUGAAAAUUGAAGUGGAAAGUUGAAGCACUUGAAAAAUGAAAGGUGAAGGAAGAUGUUCUUUCUCCUUUUUGAAAAGGAAAUGCUAAUUGCUCUCUCUCUCUCUCUCUCGACACACACACACACACACACAUAUAUAUAUAGUAUAUAUAUAUAGAUAUAGAUAUAGAAAGAAUAUUUGUACAUUAUCAGUAACAGGGGGAAGAUUAAAUCUUUCAGAGAACAUUACUAAUUUAACGGCUAGUUCUGCAGCUUCUGAAAAUUGUUAUUAAAAUUCUAUUUUGUAAUACUUUUAGCAUGAUAUCAUGUUAAUUUAGCUUAGUUGAAUUCUGGAGUGAUUUACUCUCUUUAAUCUGGUUUAAAUAUGGUAUAAGUUUUCCAGUACUGGAAAGCAUCAAGAAAUUCGAACUAAGAGAUACUGUUCGAGAAGGAUGGAGAGCAAGCAUCAGAAAGUUCUGGAGUACAUUCUUUAUAUUUUUCCAAAGCAAUCUUGUCGUAAGGGUUUUAGCAUUGUAGCCGACUAGCUUUCUAAAGAGGUUUAUUUGUUGUACAAAAGC